UACGGAAGGCAGCAGUGGGGAAUAUUGCACAAUGGGCGAAAGCCUGAUGCAGCUAUGCCGCGUGUAUGAAGAAGGCCUUAGGGUUGUAAAGUACUUUCAUCGGGGAGGAAAAAACAAAACUAAUAAUUUUAUUUCUUGACGUUACCCGAAAAAGAAGCACCGGCUAACUCCGUGCCAGCAGCCGCGGUAAUACGGAGGGUGCUAGCGUUAAUCAGAAUUACUGGGCGUAAAGAGCACGUAGGUGGUUUUUUUAAAGUCAGAUGUGAAAUCCCUGGGCUUUAACCUAGGAACUGCAUUUUGAAACUGAAAUACUAGAGUAUCGUAGAGGGAGGUAGAAUUCUAGGUGUAGCGGUGAAAUGCGUAGAUAUCUGGAGGAAUACCUGUGGCGAAAGCGGCCUCCUAAACGAAUACUGACACUGAGGGUGCGAAAGCGUGGGGAGCAAACAGGGAUUAAAU
This 456-nucleotide ribosomal RNA is filed under the name uncultured bacterium. RNAcentral describes it as "bacterial SSU rRNA". It matches the Rfam family "Bacterial small subunit ribosomal RNA", at positions 340 to 783 of the family's 1533-position model. The record is from RNAcentral.